RNAcentral lists this long non-coding RNA (525 nucleotides) under Olea europaea (common olive). Its description in RNAcentral is "long non-coding RNA (OEUR_LNC015581)". The record is from RNAcentral. Lineage: Eukaryota; Viridiplantae; Streptophyta; Magnoliopsida; Lamiales; Oleaceae.
AUAGACAGCAUCUCUAUCCCAGAGGUACGGGGUGCCAAGGAUUACUUGACAAAUAUGGUACAACUGCACAAGUGGUCUCAUUGAUGUAAUGAUUGGUAAUGGCAAAACGGAACGUGCAUUGACGAUCAAUCUUUUCCUCAACAUCCUUCUGUAUCCAAUCAAGUGGGUAUGGCCGUGAGUGGAAAAUGGUUUCCAACCCCAGUUUCUGAACCAAGCUGGAUGAGAUUAGAUUCUUUUGGUUGUCCGUGUAAAUAAUAGAGUCAAUGACCUCCUACUUCACUUGAAUUCGCAAGGUAAACAACUCUUCUUUCAUGUCGGGUGGGCUUUGCAAAUCGAAGCUUGUCUCUUUCAACAUUGCCUUUAACGACAAACUUUGGUGCACUACUGUCACCUGCCCAAGUUCAAUCUAUUCCUCUUCUGCAGGAUCCAUUGUAGUCACUGUGCGUUUACCUCUAUCAUCUAUCUUCCAUUCUGCAGGGAAAAGUUCAGGAUGUAACUUACAGCAUGUAUCCUUGUCAUGUCCUG